CCUUCGAUAGCUCAGUUGGUAGAGCGGUGGACUGUAGAAAUGAUUGGAUUCGAUGAAUCACAGUAAUCCAUAGGUCGCUGGUUCAAAUCCGGCUCGAAGGA
Culex pipiens (northern house mosquito) is the source of this 101-nucleotide transfer RNA. It matches the Rfam family "tRNA". From Rfam's summary of the family: Transfer RNA (tRNA) molecules are approximately 80 nucleotides in length. Their secondary structure includes four short double-helical elements and three loops (D, anti-codon, and T loops). The record is from Rfam. Lineage: Eukaryota; Metazoa; Arthropoda; Insecta; Diptera; Culicidae.